GGGUCGGUAGGUUGGUCGUGCCACCGGUACGUACUGGUCUCACUGAUUCCUCCUUCCUGAAGUACCGUAAUGCCAUUAAUUUGGUGUUGCGGGGAAACAGGACUGUUACUUUGAAAAAAUUAGAGUGUUUAAAGCAAGCUAACGCUUGAAUACAUUAGCAUGGAAUAAUGAAAUAGGACGAUCGAUCCUAUUUUGUUGGUUUCUAGGAUUGACGUA
Molecule: ribosomal RNA, 216 nt
Filed under: Glomeromycotina sp.
Lineage: Eukaryota; Fungi; Glomeromycota
Description: partial small subunit ribosomal RNA
Rfam family: Eukaryotic small subunit ribosomal RNA (bases 40-216)
Source: RNAcentral